UAUGCCCCCCUUCGAAGAAGAGGGGGUAUAUUGCUUUGCACAUGUCGGUCGGUCGGUCGGUCUGUCGGUCGGUCCGUCCACCAGGUGGUUUCCGGAUGAUAACUCAAGAACGCUUGGGGCUAGGAUCAUGAAACUUCAUAGGUACAUUGAUCAUGACUUGCAGAUGACCCCUAUUGAUUUUGAGGUCACUAGGUCAAAGGUCAAGGUCACGGUGACCCGAAAUAGUAAAAUGGUCUCCGGAUGAUAACUCAAGAAUGCAUACGCCUAGGAUCAUGAAACUUCAUGGGUAGAUUGAUCAUGACUCGCAGAUGACCCCUAUUGAUUUUGAGGUCACUAGGUCUAAGGUCAAGGUCACGGUGACCCGAAAUAGUAAAAUGGUUUCCGGAUGAUAACUCAAGAACGCAUACGCCUAGGAUCAUGAAACUUCAUGGGUAGAUUGAUAAUGACUCGCAGAUGACCCUAUUGAUUUUUAGGUCAAAGGUCAAGGUCACGGUGACCCGAAAUAGUAAAAUGGUUUUCGGAUGAUAACUCAAGAACGCAUACGCCUAGGAUCAUGAAAUUUCAUAGGUAGAUUGAUCAUGACUCGCAGAUGACCCCUAUUGAUUUUGAGGUCACAAGGUCAAAGGUCAAGGUCACGGUGACCCAAAAUAGUAAAAUGAUUUUUGGAUGAUAACUCAAGAACGCUUUUGCCUAGGAUCAUGACACUUCAUAGGUACAUUGAUCGUGACUCGCAGAUGACCCCUAUUGAUUUUUAGGUCACUAGGUCAAAGGUCAAGGUCACAGUGACAAAAAUAGUAUUCACACAAUGGCUGCCACUACAACGGACAGCCCAUAUUUUUUCAUGACAUUUACAAGAUUUAGUUUGAUUGGAAAAAUGGAGUAUUUGUUUAUUAGUUAUACAUAUUCAUAUUGUUAACACAUUAAUUCCAAAAUCAUAUUUUAGUCCUUUUAUUAAUGCAAUAUAUUGUUAAUCAGUAUAUAUCAUUUUGCAAACGUAUUUGUAUCCAUUAUCAAACAAGAGACAUUGCAUAUUUAGUGGUAAUCUGAGAACAGCUAAGGCCACAUUAUGUGAAUGUUAUGCCCAGAUAUUAAGAUCCAGCAUGCCUUUUAUUGCAGUUGAAUGUACACUUUGUGUAAGGGCUUAUAAUUGAUGCAUGCCAAUUGCUGGAUCAGCAUUCUGUCGCGCCAGUGUCAGGUGAAUUGUAUAUUACAGUAUCAGUGAUUUUACGCAUGGCCUAGAAGUGAUGGCUGCUGUCUGAAGUUCCAGAGUUGUUUCCAUAUUUAUGCCCCCCUUCGAAGAAGAGGGGGUAUAUUGCUUUGCUCAUGUCGGUCGGUCGGUCGGUCGGUCCGUCCAGCAGGUGGUUGUCAGAUGAUAACUCAAUAACGCUUGGGCCUAGGAUCAUGAAACUUCAUAGGUACAUUGAUCAUGACUCGCAGAUGACCCCUAUUGAUUUUGAGGUCACUAGGUCAAAGGUCAAGGUCACAGGUGAAGGUCACAGUUACUGGAAAUAGGCAUUUUAAGGAUUUAGCAUGGAUCAAACAAGGGAAAAAACUACCGUUUAUGCAUGUUCUUUUUGUUACAGCAUUUGCCUCCCUUGUAAUAUAUUUAAAUUUUACCAAAUGUAAGGCUAACUGCUUUUUUGUAAUGCAUACUACUACUACUACUACUACUACUACUACUACUUCAACUACUACUUCUACCACACUACCACCACCACCACCACCACCACUGUUCACAGUGACAAAAAACGUAUUCACACAAUGGCUGCUACUACAACUUAUAGCCCAUAUAGUGGGGCAUGCAUGUUUUACAAACAGCCCUUGUUUACUUGUAUUUUGUAAUAAAUAAUACAACAAUAAAUUCAAAGUUCAAGUUUGAAGAAUUCAGUAAGUGCAUGUGUUUUGCAAUGUUGAUAUUGAGUUAUUAUCCCCGCCGAAGUUUUUUUCGGAGGGGAUAUAGUAAUUGGUCCUGUCCGUCCGGCUGGAUCUUUGUCCGGAGCAUAACUUCAAAUCUACUCAAUGGAUUUACUUUAAACUUAGAAUUAAAACAGAUGGCACCUAGGAGAAGUGCAGUGACCAAGAACCAUAACUCUCUCUACCUUAGUUUUUGAAUUAUCUCCCCUUUUAUAUAACUUUUAAGUAAAUUUUUGUCCGGAGCAUAACUCUAAUUAUACUAAAGGGAUUUACUUGAAACUUGAAAUAAAAAUAGAUGGCAACUAGGAGAAGUGCAGUGACCAAGAACCACAACUCUAUGUAUCUUAGUCUUUUUAAUUAUCUCCCCUUUUAUAUGAUUUUAAAGUAAAUUUUUGUCCUGAGCAUAACUCUAAAUCUACUGUAGGGAUCUACUUAAAACUUGAAAUAUAAACAGCUGGCAACUAGGAGAAGUGCAGUGACCAAGAACCAUAACUCUAUCUACCUUAGUUUUUUAAUUAUCUCCCCUUUUAUAUAAUUUUAAAGUAAAUUUUUGUCCGGAGCAUAACUCUAAAUCUACUGAAGGGAUUUACUUGAAACUUCAAACUUAAACAGAUGGCAAGUAGGAGAAGUGCAGUGACUAAGAACCAUAACUCUAUCUACCUUAGUGUUUGAAUUAUAUCCCUUUAUUUAAUUUCAAAGUAAAUUUUUGUCCGGAGCAUAAUGAAUUAUCUCCCUUUAUUUGUUUUUACAAAUAUUAUUCUACUCUCUAAAACAAAUGUUGUCAUACAAGCAUACAAACACAUUUCGGCGGGGAUUUGGCACUACUGACAGGCUUUUGUUGAAUUAAAGGUGAUACACUGUCUUUUCUUGAUUAUGUAUUUUAUUGAUAAAAAUGAAAUUGUCAAUGCUUAAAAACUUUUUAAGUAAGAUCAAUUAAUGGGUUAUAAAAGCAUUGAAGAAAAUCUCAUGGUAAUUUUACAGUAUUAUAUUGUAUGAUGAGGGACUUGCACUGUUCCAGAGACAAAAUUUAUUUGGGGUGGAUAUCAAUUCAAUGAAUUAGCUUGUUAAAUUUGCAUGCAUCUCUUAUAAACCUUGUUGUUAUGUUAUUAUGAAUUAUGUUUUUAGCCCGGUUUUAAAACUGUUAAUGAUACCGUGUUUUGUAUGUACCAAUUUAUUUUUGGUUUGUUAAAAUUAUAGAUUUUGAUAAGAAUGUUGUGAUAUUGUUUUAGACCUUAAAUGUUAUAUAUUGUAGGAAAAAAGUUUAUGGAUAUCCAUGUACAUUUAAUAUAGUUACAUCACAUUGUUAUAUCAUGACAUAAAUGAAUGAUUAAAUUGAUGAAUGACA
Dreissena polymorpha is the source of this 3259-nucleotide long non-coding RNA. RefSeq lists it as uncharacterized. The transcript is spliced from 2 exons. Lineage: Eukaryota; Metazoa; Mollusca; Bivalvia; Myida; Dreissenidae. The record is from RefSeq and is a predicted model, not a curated record.